This 257-nucleotide long non-coding RNA is filed under the name Dermacentor andersoni. Its description in RNAcentral is "uncharacterized LOC126538926". The record is from RNAcentral. Lineage: Eukaryota; Metazoa; Arthropoda; Arachnida; Ixodida; Ixodidae.
AAAUUCAGAAAAAAGCGGAGAAAAGGCUAUGCAAUGAUGCCUUAGUGCGACUAUGGGAGAAGAUCAGGGGUUAUGCGUCGAAAAAGGAACCUCACACUACGAAAUGCCGCUACGAGGAACAUUGUGUAUUUAAACCAGAAGGCGAAAGCCUCGUCAUGCAUGAACGACCGGUUCACGCAGAGAAGGAAUUGCCUCCAAAUUCACCGAAUUGCGUAUCACUGGCUGUAUAGAAAGGGAAAUAAAUAUUUGUUCACCAA